GAAUGACUCUCGGCAACGGAUAUCUCGGCUCUUGCAUCGAUGAAGAACGUAGCGAAAUGCGAUACUUGGUGUGAAUUGCAGAAUCCCGUGAACCAUCGAGUCUUUGAACGCAAGUUGCGCCCGAAGCCAUUAGGUCGAGGGCACGCCUGCCUGGGUGUCACAC
Molecule: ribosomal RNA, 163 nt
Filed under: Lespedeza hengduanshanensis
Lineage: Eukaryota; Viridiplantae; Streptophyta; Magnoliopsida; Fabales; Fabaceae
Description: 5.8S ribosomal RNA
Rfam family: 5.8S ribosomal RNA
About the family: 5.8S ribosomal RNA (5.8S rRNA) is a component of the large subunit of the eukaryotic ribosome.
Source: RNAcentral